UCACUCCACUGCCGGUGCAAUGCUCUGGGCAGCAGGGCUGUGAGCUCCUGGGGCAGCACAGCUGCAGAGGCCGGCCUGAUCUGGUGCUCUGAGCUGCGUGGUGGCGGUGGCAGGGUUCUUAUAUGUCACUCAUCACAGCCUCAUGGUCUCAGACACCAUCCGAUGGUCCAGAGACAUCUACACCGAACACAUCACCAGACACAAGCAGUACCAGGAGGAGUGAGCCGGAGCGACUUCAUGCAUCAACUAUGAGAAAGGGACUGAGAGACUUUUUUCCAUUGGACCAUAUGAACUGGAACCAUAAACUCACUGAACAUUAAAUCUCACCAAAUGAGGGUCAAUCCAUCCUCAUCAUCGUAUCCACUCAUUAUACUCCACACUUGAACAUAGCCAUCAUAUGAACAACAUACCCUCCUAGCUCAAUGUCUGUACUUUGACCCGUUAACCUUUUACCCCCAAUCAGGGAUAUUGAGAUUAUGUAUUCCUUACACCAUCCGAUUUUAAACUAGACUUCACACCUGCUGAUAAUCUGUACGUUAUUCCCUGAUAACCAGAAACUUCUAUGCUUAAACUCUGUACCGUUAACUUUUUUUUAAAACAUCAUCUGAGUCACUUCUAGUAGUGCAAUGUGACUUCAUAUCUGUCAUGUGGGGUUUGUUCUCUAAUCCUCGCCCCAGGGAAAGAAGCAUGUGAAGUGGAAUGUCUUGACAGUGUUUGUUUCUUUAAAUCCAUUGCUGUGUAUUUAUGUUAGAGAAAUGCACUUGCAGUUGGAGCAGAAGACAGUAAAGCUUGAGAUGGUCCUUAAUUCCUUGGGGAAUUAAUUCUACAGUCUCGGUCGGACCAGCCCCCCAAGAACGUUCUGUCUCCAGAACAGAGGAGCUUUAGUCUUACUGUGGAGACAUCCAUCUGACCAGAAGAGUGGAGUUGUCAACAGUCUUCAGUGCUGCUAACGAUUGACAUGCCCAGGUGGAGAGAAAGCUCAAUGGGGGAUGGGGAAUCUGCAGACUGGGUUUCUGGUGCCUUCCUGAUUGACAAAGAAUUAUUGAUUCAGCAGCAGAGCUCUCUGCCAGUUCUCUCCUCCCCCUCCCCCACUGCAUCCUGUUUCCUCUCAACGGCUGUUUGUCUUGCCAGGUUACUCAGUUUAAUUGUGUUUAUAAUCAAGGCAGCUCCAUCUCCCCUGCUAUUAAAUAAUUCAUGAGCAUAAAAGAUGAGGUCUUUCUGAUCAUUCUAGUGGUCUGCUUAGAACAAUGUCUUUUUUUAGGGGCUAUAGAAUAUUUCCACCAGCUUUUCAACAGAGUACAAUUUUGACAGCAUUAUUAAUUCUAAUUAGUUUUUUUUUGCUUCCUACAAAUCAGGUUUCAGGAAGGGUUGUUGUUUGUCUUUUUCUGAUCUUCCCAUCUAUAACAUAAAGAUUGUUGUGACAAAAAGAGUGGGCUCUGAGCUCAUUGUGCUGUAAAUAAAGGAUCCUUUGUUUGCUAAGCACAGUUUAA
Gopherus evgoodei (Goodes thornscrub tortoise) is the source of this 1490-nucleotide long non-coding RNA. RefSeq lists it as uncharacterized. The record is from RefSeq and is a predicted model, not a curated record. The transcript has 3 exons. Lineage: Eukaryota; Metazoa; Chordata; Testudines; Testudinidae.